This 98-nucleotide small nucleolar RNA is filed under the name Capsicum annuum. RNAcentral's name for it is "Small nucleolar RNA Z161/Z228". It matches the Rfam family "Small nucleolar RNA Z161/Z228". Rfam says of the family: Z161 and Z228 are members of the C/D class of snoRNA which contain the C (UGAUGA) and D (CUGA) box motifs. Most of the members of the box C/D family function in directing site-specific 2'-O-methylation of substrate RNAs. Lineage: Eukaryota; Viridiplantae; Streptophyta; Magnoliopsida; Solanales; Solanaceae. The record is from Rfam by way of RNAcentral.
AAGCCGCUUGAUGAUUUUUUUGGAUAAUAUUCUCACGACGGUCGUCUGAGGUACAUUUAUGUGCCUAACUGAUGUAAUAUCCAAAUUCUCUGAUGGUU